This 383-nucleotide unclassified non-coding RNA is filed under the name uncultured Actinomycetes bacterium. RNAcentral's name for it is "uncultured actinobacterium contains 16S-23S intergenic spacer region". The record is from RNAcentral. Lineage: Bacteria; Bacillati; Actinomycetota; Actinomycetes.
UCCGAGUUGACCCCGGCAGUCUCCUAUGAGUCCCCGACACCCGAAGGCUCGCUGGCAACAUAGGACGAGGGUUGCGCUCGUUGCGCCACUUAAGGCAACACCUCACGGCACGAGCUGACGACAGCCAUGCACCACCUGUGAAGGUGCCCCGAAGGGAGGCCGUGUUUCCACGGCUGUCACCUACAUGUCAAGCCCAGGUAAGGUUCUUCGCGUUGCGUCGAAUUAAACCACAUGCUCCACCGCUUGUGCGGGCCCCCGUCAAUUCCUUUGAGUUUCAGCCUUGCGGCCGUACUCCCCAGGCGGGGCACUUAAUGCGUUAGCUUCGACACCGAAGGGGUCAAUCCCCCCGGCAUCUAGUGCCCAUCGUUUACGGCGUGGACUAC